UGGGGAAUAUUGCACAAUGGAGGGAACUCUGAUGCAGCGACGCCGCGUGAACGAAGAAGGCUUUCGAGUCGUAAAGUUCUUUUAUAUGGGAAGAUAAUGACGGUACCAUGAGAAAAAGCCCCGGCUAACUACGUGCCAGCAGCCGCGGUAAUACGUAGGGGGCUAGCGUUGUCCGGAAUCACUGGGCGUAAAGGGUUCGCAGGCGGAAAUGCAAGUCAGGUGUAAAAGGCAGUAGCUUAACUACUGUAAGCAUUUGAAACUGCAUAUCUUGAGAAGAGUAGAGGUAAGUGGAAUUUUUAGUGUAGCGGUGAAAUGCGUAGAUAUUAAAAAGAAUACCGGUGGCGAAGGCGACUUACUGGGCUCAUUCUGACGCUGGGGAACGAAAGCGUGGGUAGCAAACAGG
Molecule: ribosomal RNA, 403 nt
Filed under: Verrucomicrobiota bacterium
Lineage: Bacteria; Pseudomonadati; Verrucomicrobiota
Description: Verrucomicrobia bacterium partial 16S ribosomal RNA
Rfam family: Bacterial small subunit ribosomal RNA
Source: RNAcentral